Molecule: non-coding RNA, 1686 nt
Organism: Ictidomys tridecemlineatus (thirteen-lined ground squirrel)
Lineage: Eukaryota; Metazoa; Chordata; Mammalia; Rodentia; Sciuridae
Source: RefSeq, a predicted model, not a curated record
UGCUAGGGUGUUUUGUAAUUUUGAAACAAUAGUUUUCCUUAAGAGGAUGUAAGAGUGGAUUGGGGAGGUUUUGACCUACUAAGGUUGCAACCUCCGGGUGCUCCCGUAUCAGAUAAGGGUGACCAAGCAGGGGCUCACCCAUUCAUGGCUGACCAGCUACCUAACAAUCUCUGUUUGCCUUUCUCAAGUCUUUCAUGCACUCUGACUAUGGGAUUUCUGGAGGUAGGCCCACAGGCCCUCAUGUGUUCCUGUCUCCACCCUUGGGUCCCUUCAGCUGCUGACACUGAUAAGGAUGACCAGAAGCUUUGAUUCUACUCUUCCCCCCGAGAUAAUCCUGACCAGAUUUAGUGCUACAGCUGGACCAGAAGAUGAUUUAAGGACAUGGCCCCAUCUCUCCAGGACAUUGGGAAACUGGGCAUCAGAUCCUCUCUUGUCCUUCCCCUUGUUUCUCAAAAGUGGCACCGUCUCUGGCAUCAGGGCCUCAGUUUCCCUUCUACAUAGUUCUGUUCCUAUCAAAAUAGGAAUACUGCAAAUCUAUGCCUUUUACUAAAACCACAGGUGUCUGGAUCUUGUAUAUCACUGACAAGUUUCUUCCUGGAAGCCUAUUCAAAAAGUCUCCUUGUGUUCCAUCUCCACGGGCACAAUGCCACUCAUCCUGAUUUUCCAAGACUCCCCGCAACAAGUUCUUUGAAGGGACAGCUGGAUCCUGUCCAGGUGAUCAGGAGCAGGUACUCACAUUUCCACUCCAGCAGCUGGCUGAUUGCUGGGCUGAAGGGGUUUAAGGUGACUCUGUUAAUUGAUGCACAAAACAACCCAUCAAAAGGUACCUGACUUCAUCCCCUUUUUGGGAUGCUCAGGACAUUUCCCCACCUCUACAGUUCAGUCUCUGAGGCUAGGAGUCUCUGAUUAAGUGUCCAGCCUGGUAUCAUCAUAGGCCUACUUUACAGAUGAGAGAAACUAAGGCUCAGAAAAAACAAUGAGUUGCCUCGAGUAGAACAACUGGGAACUCCUGAAGUUGACCAGUCAACUGUGUGAAGCUUUCUGGAUGACAGCAUUCAACCAACAUGGGAAGGAAAAGCUCUGAAAAGCACCGUGUCUGAGAUUUCUCCCUGUGACGUAUCCAACAGAGUCACCUCCAGGUGUUCACAUCAAGUUCUCAGGUUUCCCAUCUGAAAACCCGGGUCAAGCUCCCCACAGCCUGCCAGAAUCAGAACUUGCUCACAACUGCAGGGUUUUGGAGAUGGCAAUGGAAGGGCCCAGAGAACAGAGAAUCCAAAGUUUUCAUAUAUGAAAAACAAAUGCUGAGGACUCAAAAAAGAGACGCUGGUUUUCCCAAGAUGCCUAGAUGGUGGGCGCCAUCUGCACGGCAUGUUGGAUGGACACAAGACUCCUUAGCCAUGUCUUUGAAAGCAGGUAUUGUAAAGGAGACAGGGCUUAAAAAUAAGGAUUGCUGGAAGAAGUUAACAAUUGCAGCAUCAACUAACAUGGAGAGGGAUCUCCCUGAAAAUACAUGAAGGGAAUUCUGAGAUGAUGAACAACCCAAGGAGAUCAAUCUUCAAACUUGGUUUAAGCAAUUCUAUAGUGAAGAAGGGUUGGAAAUGAGUUAUAGGAACAUUUAGGAUGCCUCCUAAAGUGUUGUAAAUAAUUAUAUCUGCUUUCCACGUAUUAAAUCAUAUCUGGUUUACA